GGACCUUUAUCCAGAGAACAGGCAAGAGAGGAGAUAGAUUGGGGAGCAGGGAGAAGGAUAUGGAAGAAUCACAGGCAUCUAGCCUCGACCUGGAAGAAAGGCAGGCUUCUCUAUGCCACCUGAAUUCCUUGGCUUGCAGCCCCUUCUUCCAUCUUCAAAGCGAGUAGUUGAGUGUCUUCAAGUAUUUCUGAUUGUUACUCUCCUGCCUCCUUCUUUUACGUAUAAGGAUCUUUGUGAUUACAUUGGUCCCACCAGGAAAAUCUACACACCUGCAAAGUCCCUUUUGCCACAUCAUCGGAAGAAACAAAAACAAGCUGUGGUGAAGAAGAAACGUUUUCUAAAGCCUCUUUUAUCCCCAGGAUGGUUGAGAAGUCAGAGGCCUGCAAUGCUAGGAAGAGAGGGUCUAAAGUGUCCUUUUCACCGUGAUGUAAGUAGGCUCUCCAGCAGUCCCAGAAGACUUUCACAAGAAGAGUUUCAACAACAGAAAAUAAGCCUAAGUGAUUGUGUGAAUAUCACAGAGCAACAGAGAAAAUGUAGAUCACUCCAGUUCUAGCACAAGGUCGGGGAGGAAAAAGAAUCAGAGAGUUUGGAAUUUCUAAAUGCUCGUGUUUGAGAAAUGGGGAGCAUCACAAACUAACAGCAGAGGUGGACAUUUUUUACAGGGUAAAGGAUUCCCAUGGAACACCACUCGUCAAAUGCAAAUAAAAAUUGUACAAAGAAGGUAACUUCUUUCUCUGUCCCCACAUCUCUCCAUCUGAAACUUCAUUCUUCCAUUAAAACAGAAUUGUGCUUUGUGAUGUAUAAA
Molecule: long non-coding RNA, 805 nt
Organism: Homo sapiens (human)
Lineage: Eukaryota; Metazoa; Chordata; Mammalia; Primates; Hominidae
Source: Ensembl